RNAcentral lists this ribosomal RNA (405 nucleotides) under uncultured bacterium. RNAcentral describes it as "bacterial SSU rRNA". It matches the Rfam family "Bacterial small subunit ribosomal RNA", at positions 30 to 426 of the family's 1533-position model. The record is from RNAcentral.
AUUGAACGCUGGCGGCAUGCUUAACACAUGCAAGCCGAACGGCAGCAUGACUUAGCUUGCUAAGUUGAUGGCGAGUGGCGAACGGGUGAGUAACGCGUAGGAACAUGCCCUUAAAGAGGGGGACAACUUGGGGAAACUCAAGCUAAUACCGCAUAAUCUCUAUGGAGAAAAGCUGGGGACCUUCGGGCCUGGCGCUUUAAGAUUGGCCUGCGUACGAUUAGCUAGUUGGUAGGGUAAAGGCUUACCAAGGCGACGAUCGUUAGCUGGUCUGAGAGGAUGACCAGCCACACUGGAACUGAGACACGGUCCAGACUCCUACGGGAGGCAGCAGUGGGGGAAUUUUUGGACAAAUGGGCGCAAGCCUGAUCCAGCAAUGCCGCGUGCAGGAUGAAGGCCUUCGGUUGU